RNAcentral lists this long non-coding RNA (1256 nucleotides) under Trifolium pratense (red clover). RNAcentral describes it as "long non-coding RNA (TPRA_LNC006323)". Lineage: Eukaryota; Viridiplantae; Streptophyta; Magnoliopsida; Fabales; Fabaceae. The record is from RNAcentral.
GCCCAUAGGUGGUUCCUCAAUUGUAAUACAAAUGUUGGCAUGUGCGUGCUUGAUAAGGCUUUGAGGUGGUUCCUAGUUUUUUGGUUUUUCUGCUCUUUAGCAGCUGUAUAGUUCCCUGCUUUGCAAAGUCUAAGGAUAUGGAAAUUGAUAUUCUAACUACUGGUGGUGAUUUAGCAGUGCAUUGAAGGGUGUUGAAGCAAGGGAGCAAGCAUAAUGACUACUGGUGUUUUGUUUAAUGUGCAGCAAAGGAGACUUUGGCUAUGAUUGAUUUUUUUUUUCUUUUCUAGUUUGCUAGCUUAGCUGAAGUUUCUUAAUUGUAUUGUAAUGUUGUAAAGUUUAUGUGGCAGCUUGCAGAAAAAAUUUAGCAAUCUGAUGUACUUAGUGGUGAAGUUGGGUUGGGAAGUAUCCUUUAGGUUGUAUCAUUUCGAUGGAUUAGGAGAAAUGUAGAUGCAAAAAAGGGUAAAUUCUAAUAUGAACCACUUCAUCAAGUGGUUCAUGGUGGACCAAUCAUGAAUAAUAUUAUAACGAAUACGAAUUUUAUAAAAUCUACCGUUGGAUUGAAAGAUUAUAUCAUAUAGAUCAUCCAUAGACAAAUUUAGAAAAAUUGAAAAUCAUUUGAUAUGUUAUCGAGACACAUCAAGAUUAACGGUUUAUUAACUAACGUAAAUCUUGAUGGGUCUCAAUAAUACAUUAAAUGAUUUUUAAAAAAUUUUAAAAAAUUUAUGGAUGAUCUAUACGAUAUAAACUUUCAAUCCAACAGUGAAUUUCGUAAAAUUCAUAUUCGGUAGAUCACUUGUCCAUAGUGGACCACUUGUGAAGGUGGUCCACCGUAACAUUAGCCCGCAAAACAGUCAUAUAAGUAGUGUAGAUGAUUAUCAGUGUCAAGUUGGUAAGUGUCAUCUCUACUAGCUUAGGAGGCUAAUGGAUUUUCUGUGCGUUUAUUUUUAGAUUGGUUUAGGCUUAUUGGUCAUAUGUCAAAAUACCAUGUCCGGUUGGUUAUUGUAGUUGUGAAAGUGUGUGUACAGAUUGGAGAGGAAGGUGUUAAAGCUCAUAAUGACAAGUACGGUUAUUAGUUGAUCAGAGUACACAGCGGAAGGUCAAGUUGUUGAGUAGUGCGAAAUUUCAAGGACGAAAUUUUCAUAAGAGGGUAGAAUGUAAUACCCCGAAUAAUUAAUUAAUAAGUUAUUUUCUUUAUUAACCUUAAUUAGUAUUAUGGCAAUAGAUUAAGCUAGUGAACAAUUAGUAAUUAAGUUGGG